GUGACGCUUGCACCCUCCGUAUUACCGCGGCUGCUGGCACGGAGUUAGCCGGUGCUUAUUCAUAUGGUACCGUCAUUAUCUUCCCAUAUAAAAGGAGUUUACACACCGAAAUGCGUCAUCCUCCACGCGGCGUUGCUGCAUCAGAGUUUCCUCCAUUGUGCAAUAUUCCCCACUGCUGCCUCCCGUAGGAGUCUGGACCGUGUCUCAGUUCCAGUGUGGCUGAUCAUCCUCUCAGACCAGCUAGGCGUCAUUGGCUUGGUGGGCUCUUACCCCACCAACUACCUGAUACCAUAUAGUCUCAUCCUUUAGCGAAAAAACGUUUCCCAAUCUACAUCAAGUAGAAAGGAGUAUGGGGUAUUAGCAGUCGUUUCCAACUGUUAUCCCCCUCUAAAGGGCAGAUUAACUAUACAUUACUCACCCGUCCGCCACUUAGCUGACAUACUAGCAAGCUAGUACCGUUCUCGUUCGACUUGCAUGUGUUAAGCACGCCGCCAGCGUUCACUCUGAGCCAGGAUCAAACUCUCCAUUAAAAAUGAAAUGGUUUGAACCAUUGUCAAAGAAUCACUUAAUUUAUUUCUAAAUAAGUUAAUCUUUAUCCAAUUUUCUAAAAAUUGGUAAAAUUAAAACUCAAAGGAAUAGACGGGGACCCGCACAAGUGGUGGAGCAUGUGGUUUAAUUCGAAGAUACGCGAAGAACCUUACCUAGCCUUGACAUAUAUUAGAACACCCUAGAGAUAGAGUGGUGCCUUCGGGAGCUUUUAUACAGGUGCUGCACGGCUGUCGUCAGCUCGUGUCGUGAGAUGUUGGGUUAAGUCCCGCAACGAGCGCAACCCUCGUCACUAGUUACUAACGGUUCGGCCGAGGACUCUAGUGAGACUGCCUUCGUAAGGAGGAGGAAGGUGAGGACGACGUCAAGUCAUCAUGGCCCUUACGGCUAGGGCAACACACGUGCUACAAUGGCCAGGACAGUGAGACGCGAUGCCGCGAGGUGGAGCAAAUCUAUAAACCUGGUCUCAGUUCGGAUUGUAGUCUGCAACUCGACUACAUGAAGCUGGAAUCACUAGUAAUCGUAGAUCAGCUAUGCUACGGUGAAUACGUUCCCGGGUCUUGUACUCACCGCCCGUCACACCAUGGGAGUUGAUUUCACCCGAAGCGGGGAAGCUAAACUGGCUACCCUCCACGGUGGAAUCAGCGACUGGGGUGAAGUCG
Molecule: ribosomal RNA, 1208 nt
Filed under: metagenome
Description: bacterial SSU rRNA
Rfam family: Bacterial small subunit ribosomal RNA (bases 606-1208)
Source: RNAcentral